This is a long non-coding RNA of Anguilla rostrata (American eel), 264 nucleotides long. RefSeq lists it as uncharacterized. The transcript has 2 exons. The record is from RefSeq and is a predicted model, not a curated record. NCBI's taxonomy places the organism in Eukaryota, Metazoa, Chordata, Actinopteri, Anguilliformes, Anguillidae.
CAGAGGGAUCCACACUGCCAUUCAGGAAGAGGAGAGACAGCUUUAAUUUACUUCCUCCUUUGAGUGGAGGUUCUCUAGCCCCCUCUGAAGCAGGCAGCUCUGUGCGGGAUUAUCAAUCUGCUCAUGAUGUUUCCAGUAAGAAGGUAUCAUGGUGGCUGAAAAGGAGGAAAUCAGGGAGUUCAGCAUCAUCUGGAUACGGAACACGGAGUUCUGUAGUGAGUGAAGCAGAGGAGCCUGACAGGGUGACCCUGGAAGGGGACAGUG